GGUUCCGUAGUGUAGCGGUUAUCACGUCUGCUUUACACGCAGAAGGUCCCAAUUGGGCGGAACCA
Molecule: non-coding RNA, 65 nt
Organism: Henosepilachna vigintioctopunctata
Lineage: Eukaryota; Metazoa; Arthropoda; Insecta; Coleoptera; Coccinellidae
Source: the annotation of a GenBank genome assembly